RNAcentral lists this ribosomal RNA (253 nucleotides) under uncultured bacterium. Its description in RNAcentral is "partial 16S ribosomal RNA". It matches the Rfam family "Bacterial small subunit ribosomal RNA", at positions 524 to 776 of the family's 1533-position model. The record is from RNAcentral.
GACGUAGGGUGCAAGCGUUGUCCGGAUUUAUUGGGCGUAAAGAGCUCGUAGGCGGCUCGUUGCGUCGACUGUGAAAACCCGCGGCUUAACCGCGGGCUUGCAGUUGAUACGGGCAGGCUAGAGUUCGGUAGGGGAGACUGGAAUUCCUGGUGUAGCGGUGAAAUGCGCAGAUAUCAGGAGGAACACCGGUGGCGAAGGCGGCUCACUGGCCCGGAACUGACGCUGAGGUGCGAAAGCGUGGGGAGCAAACAGG